UACGUAGGGGGCAAGCGUUAUCCGGAUUUACUGGGUGUAAAGGGAGCGUAGGUGGCUAGGUAAGUCAGAUGUGAAAGCCCGGGGCUCAACCCCGGGAUUGCAUUUGAAACUAUUUAGCUAGAGUGCAGGAGAGGUAAGUGGAAUUCCUAGUGUAGCGGUGAAAUGCGUAGAUAUUAGGAGGAACACCAGUGGCGAAGGCGGCUUACUGGACUGUAACUGACACUGAGGCUCGAAAGCGUGGGGAGCAAACAGG
RNAcentral lists this ribosomal RNA (253 nucleotides) under uncultured bacterium. RNAcentral describes it as "partial 16S ribosomal RNA". It matches the Rfam family "Bacterial small subunit ribosomal RNA", at positions 524 to 776 of the family's 1533-position model. The record is from RNAcentral.